Polyodon spathula (Mississippi paddlefish) is the source of this 2276-nucleotide long non-coding RNA. RefSeq lists it as uncharacterized. The transcript has 3 exons. NCBI's taxonomy places the organism in Eukaryota, Metazoa, Chordata, Actinopteri, Acipenseriformes, Polyodontidae. The record is from RefSeq and is a predicted model, not a curated record.
CGAGGAAAUAGUUCUUCAACAAGAGGAGGAACAGACUCUUAUUAAAACCAUGCAUCUCAAAGGAUGAUCCCUUGUGCAUAUUGGACACACACACAAGGCAUGUAAAAUGAAUACAGGCGAAGACUCCGUUUCCCACGCCCAUCCUGCAGAUUCAUCCUCGUGUCUUCGUGAAGAGCUUUUGCUCCAUUUCUCUGACAGCGAGAGCAUGAACAUUUUGUCUUGGGUAUCUUCAUUGCACAGAAACGGAAUCCAUCAACUCCCCCUUCAGUGUGUUGACCAGAAGACUGGGCUCCCUUUCCAGCAGAGGCAGAACCAGCUCUACAGAACACCACGCACUCGCACUCUGCUUGGCUGGCUGGCAGGGCUCUCUAGCUGCAGCUCCCAUAGAAGAAGAGUGGACGUGGGAAGUUGAAUCUAGUGGCUUCCUGUACGAUGACACCCCAGUCCACAGGAGAGAAGCCAGAAGAAAUGUUACUGUCAGCAGAGACCAUAUGGAAAGAACAAAGCCGACAGAUUUGUCCUGCGAUUCCGUCACACGCCUCUCACGAUAUGUCUUAACGAAAGCCUUCAGCAGGAACAUGGCUUUGGACCUGCUGCCACUGCCGAGCUGUGAUCAGCUGCUCCCCUCCUCCUCCAGCAUUCAGAUUAACCCCUUGGAGCUCAUGCAGUUGCGAGUGAAGCCGUGGCUGCUUCACAGAGUGCUGGUCUUCCUGAAGAAUGGAAGAAUGCUGCCAGAAUCCCAGCAGGUGAAAGCUCUCUCCAUCCUGAAGAAACAGCUGCUUCAAAUCCAAGCCCGGGCCUCAAGGAAACCAGACUUCAAAACCAAGGGUUGGUUAUAAUAAUAUAUAUUUGUUUCCAUUUCCUUCCCAUGUGAAUUAUUUCUUUCUUAAUGUGUCAGUUGUUAUGGCAUUACAGCACCUUUCGGCACCAGGCUGGCUGUUCAGCACAUUUCCUUCUGUGAAUCUAUAGAAACAAGUGAAUUUUUCUUGGUAGACUGAUCUAAAUCUGAUUUUUCUGCUCCUUCCCUUUUCCACCAGAUAUUACAAAGUGUUGUGCAAGGGAAUGAUGAUUCUUUAAAUUAGCUAGACUCCCAAUCAUCAGUGUCUAGAAGAAGUGAACACAUAUACAUACAUAUACAGCACAUUUAAAAAAAAAAAUUGUAUAGUUGAACCUUUUUUCACACAAAAUAUAUUUGCUCCUCGAUAGGAAUGGAAUACCAGCAUAAAAUAAACAUGAGGGUUUUGCAGACCCUUUCUGUAACAAACAGAAACGGGAAAUCUAGCUGCUUUAGGUUGCCAAAGCAAGCACAAUCUAAUUUUUUAUAUUCCAGUAGAAACACUGCAGAUUCCAGCACUUUGCACGGUAUAAAAUGAGCCUUCAUUUUUCAGCUGCAUGCUCUUGUUUAUUAUUGGAUCUGCCUCCACCUUUGAAACCAGGAUCUUCUACAGUAGAUGUUGGUCCUUGGUUCUAACUUCUUGGCCACACCAGCUCAAUUUGGCACAUUCUGAAUUCUCAUAUUUUGUAGAUCAGCCUGUUGAACUAUGCAGCCCUAAUAAGUAUGUUGUUGACAGCACUUUCUGUUGUGCUGUUGCUUAUUCUCCUGAGUUGAUGUUGGAAGCAGUGAUGUGGCUUUGUGGUGUUUGCUGUGCCUGAAGGGCAGCUCCCACACUACUCAUUUCUUGUCAGCAAACUAAUUAAUGUUGAAGGUUGCUGAUGGGUUGAAUGCUAAAGAUUGGCAGAAAUACAAAUCAAAAUUAAUGUAAGGCGUAACUUACUGGAGAAGAUGCAUUCUGGGAAUUUCUCAGUAUUUGAAAGGUCUUGAGAAGCAUUAUAUCUGUCCUCCUCCACAAAGGUGCCACAACCUGUUGUAAAGAUCCAACAAAUGCAAACUUUGCGAGAAUAGAGAUGUGAGAAGUUUUUAUAUUGAAUGUGAAUAAAGAAUGAAAGGAUGAUAUAUAGCUGUGACAGAAUUGGGUUCAUUUCCUGAUAAUAUUGUAGUGCUGACCAUGAAUCUGGCCCUUAUCACAGUCAAGGCACGUCUGUCUGACAGUUGACCAUGAGCCUGGGGAAAUGAAGACAUUGGAAAACUGAAAGUGGACAAUGGACACCAAACAUGCCAAGAACUGUUGCUGUGCUUGAUAUGGAAUGCUUCAUUUGUAGGACUGUCAGCCCGAUCUGUAAUAAAAGGUUAGCACAUUACAGCUAUGAACAAAAGUUUUGCAUUACCUCGAAUUUUAGGAUUGAGACAUAAUAAUAAUAAAAAACUAUAAUUUAGA